Molecule: ribosomal RNA, 433 nt
Filed under: uncultured bacterium
Lineage: Bacteria
Description: partial 16S ribosomal RNA
Rfam family: Bacterial small subunit ribosomal RNA
Source: RNAcentral
AACGAACGCUGGCGGCAUGCCUAACACAUGCAAGUCGAACGAGACCUUCGGGUCUAGUGGCGCACGGGUGCGUAACGAGUGGGAACCUGCCCUUAGGUUCGGAAUCACUCCCCGAAAGGGGUGCUAAUAACGGAUAAUGUAUUCGGACAAAAGAUUUCUCGCCUUUGGGUGGGCGCGCGUUAGAUUAGCCAGUUGGUAGUGUAAUAGCCUACCAAGGCGACGAUCCAUGGCUGGUCUGAGACGAGGAUCAGCUACACUGGGGAUGAGACACGGCCCAGCCUCGGACGGGAGGCAGCAGUGGAGUAUAUUGGACAAUGAGCGAAGGUCUAGUCCAGCAAUGCCGCGGGAGUGAGGAAGGCCUUAGUGUUGUAAAUCUCUUUGUCCCGGGAUGAUAAUGACAGUAACGGGAGAAGAAGCUCCGGCUAACUCCGUG